UUUUCCGUCACUCGGGCCGCAAGGGCCUGGUCAACGUUCGGGAUGUGCUCGUGGAGGAGUGCCACGCUCAGCUGGCAGAGGAGUCAUACAAGUCACAGCAAAGCCAUGAUUUGCUCAAGGAGUCGUUUUUGAACAAAGCAAAGGAAGAAGAGAAAAUGCCUGUAUCUGCAAGACAGGAAGAAAAGCAACUCAUUGAAAGAUUGUUGAACUGUUUCUCUGAAGAGAAAUCUGAUGCACCAACCCAUAAGGUAACAGCUGUUGGUCCGUUUACUCCUUACCAGCUGAAAUGCUACAGUCUGACCAAAAUAUCCCAAUUCAGGUACGAGAAGACUUUUAUUGUGAGGUAUAGUCAUAUUCUUACCUGUUAGUUUCAAUAA
Molecule: long non-coding RNA, 377 nt
Filed under: Zosterops lateralis melanops
Lineage: Eukaryota; Metazoa; Chordata; Aves; Passeriformes; Zosteropidae
Description: lncRNA (ENSZLMG00000011203.1)
Source: RNAcentral